AAUUUUACACGGAUAACUGUGGUAAUUCUAGAGCUAAUACGUGCAACCAGCUCGUUCCCUUGUGGAGCGAGCGCAGUUAUUAGAACAAGACCAAUCCGGCCUUCGGGUCGGUACAAUUGGUGACUCUGAAUAACCGAAGCGGAGCGCAUGGUCUCGUACCGGCGCCAGAUCUUUCAAGUGUCUGACUUAUCAGCUUGUUGUUAGGUUAUGUUCCUAACAAGGCUUCAACGGGUAACGGGGUAUCAGGGUCCGAUACCGGAGAGGGAGCCUGAGAAACGGCUACCACAUCCAAGGAAGGCAGCAGGCGCGCAAAUUACCCACUCCUAGCACAGGGAGGUAGUGACGAAAAAUAACGAUGCGAGGGCUAAUAGCUUCUCGUAAUCGGAAUGGGUACACUUUAAAUCCUUUAACGAGGAUCUAUUGGAGGGCAAGUCUGGUGCCAGCAGCCGCGGUAAUUCCAGCUCCAAUAGCGUAUAUUAAAGUUGCUGCGGUUAAAAAGCUCGUAGUUGGAUCUGGGCUUCUGAAUGGAUGGUUCACUUUACGGUGUAACUGUUCGUUUGGUGCCACAAGCCGGCCAUGUCUUGCAUGCCCUUUACUGGGUGUGCAUGGCGACCGGAACGUUUACUUUGAAAAAAUUAGAGUGCUCAAAGCAGGCGUAUGGCCUUGCAUAAUGGUGCAUGGAAUAAUGGAAUAGGACCUCGGUUCUAUUUUGUUGGUUUUCGGAACUCGAGGUAAUGAUUAAGAGGAACAGACGGGGGCAUUCGUAUUGCGGCGUUAGAGGUGAAAUUCUUGGAUCGUCGCAAGACGAACUACUGCGAAAGCAUUUGCCAAGAAUGUUUUCAUUAAUCAAGAACGAAAGUUAGAGGUUCGAAGGCGAUCAGAUACCGCCCUAGUUCUAACCAUAAACGAUGCCAACCAGCGAUCCGUCGGUGUUUUUUUUAUGACUCGACGGGCAGCUUUCCGGGAAACCAAAGUGCUUAGGUUCCGGGGGAAGUAUGGUUGCAAAGCUGA
This 1011-nucleotide ribosomal RNA is filed under the name Macrobiotus sottilei. Its description in RNAcentral is "SSU rRNA". It matches the Rfam family "Eukaryotic small subunit ribosomal RNA", at positions 131 to 1140 of the family's 1831-position model. Lineage: Eukaryota; Metazoa; Tardigrada; Eutardigrada; Parachela; Macrobiotidae. The record is from RNAcentral.